UUUUUUUUUUUUUUUGUGAUUAAGGCCUAAGCGUGAGAAAUCUUACUUGCUGGGCUAAAUAAUGUUGUUGUCACUAGCUAAAAGAUAAAUAACUUGGAGAAAAGUCUUGAGAGAUUGGGAAGAAGGGAGAGAACGGCAGGGUGGCAGCAAUGGUAAAAAUCCCUAAUGUUUUAAUUUACAGCCCAAACUUCUGAUAUAUAAGUUUGUAUGUAUUGACUCAGAUGCAAAAAAGAAAAAAAACACACUUCAUUUUAUAAAUAUCAAAGUACAUGCUUAAAGCUAAAUUUCUACUAAUUUAUUCCACAGUAUUUAGCUUGCCUAGAAUAGCUAAUAAGUUAUUCACUUAUAUGCUUUUGAAAAUACAGAGCCUUGUUUUUACUGACUUGUUUGUAGUUUGCAAAAAUUGAAAAAAAUACUAAUAAUUUGGAAAAAUUGCAUUCGUUAGUAUUUUGUAAAAUACAGAAGCUUUCAGCCCUCUGUCAGUUCAUAGAUUUAAAAAGAUUAAUGGUAGGAAAAUAAAAUUGUGAGAAACCAAAUGCUCCUAAAGGUGGUUUAGCUCUUCUUGAGAUAUAUAUACUAAAUUGGUGUCCUAGAACUCCAGGCUGUAUGUAGGCAAAUUAUUUUAAUGUUAUUACUGGGUAGAUAUACUUAACUGCAUCUCGAAGUCCGCCCUUUCUUCUGCAAAAAUACAACAUGUACUACAAGGGAGUGGACUCUAAUUAAUUGUAAGAGGGAGAGCAUGCAAAGUUGGUACUUGCUUCCUCACUCUUAACCGUUGGCCGGGAGAUCGUUGAGGUUGGCAAGGUGGGCACCGUGAGGAAAGUUUCAAGGUGAGGGGGAUGGUGAUGUUCAGCUUUACAAAUUUGCAUGAAAAAUUUAGAGGGCCUUUCAGACUGCUUUUUAUGUGGUAGUGGCACUAAUAAUGGAACCCGCAAAGAUAGCGUGUAGAACCAAGUCCUAGUGCACAGGGCACUAGCAGAGAUGGUCAGAGCAGUGGGAAAAGCAGGCCGCUCAAAGAUAGCUGCCUGUUGGUGGCUCCCAUUCAUCUCAAGUGUGUGCACCAUCUUUUUAAGCCCUUUAAAAGAGUGCUGGACACAGUUGGGGGUGAGAUGGAGUUUGGUUAGUGGCCAUAGUAAUUGCAAACAGAGCAAAAUGAAAUCCCACGUGACAAUAUUUGAAUGGGAUGUGUUAGUUGAGAUGAAAUGAUUGGGUUAUCAAGCAUCCCCAAUCUUUGACAUUAUUUCAUUACAUUUAUGUGGCCUUGAAACAGAAUUAGAAAUUGCUGCUAUCUUUAAUAAUCUUGGAAGAUACGCAGGCUUGUAAACAACCACACUUUUCAUGUAGCAGCAUGAAGCCAAAAGAAAAAGCUUUUAAAUUCUACGAUAUUGGUUCUUCACAGUAGGUUUUCCUUAAAACAGGGUGGCUCUAUCUGAUCUUAGCAUCUCUCUGCUCUUUCUCUAGGGCUAAUCUCUAGGCUCUUAAAAAUCUACUCAUACCAAUCUUAAAAGCUCUGAAAAGUAUUUUUUAAGAAUGAUAAUUAUUUGGUAGUUUGGGUUCUUUCUUUCUUUCUUUAUCUUUAUUUAAAAAAAAAAAAAAAAAAAAAAAAAAAGCAUGGCAAGUUCCAGCACACUGAGUUGAGAUUUUCUUGUCCCUGAAGACCAAUCAAUUUCAUAGAUAUUUAAGAUUGAUUCCACACUUUGUUUUCAAGGAGAAUGCCUGCAUUCUCCUCUAAGGAAGAGCAAAUGAAUUUUGUUUUUCACCCCCACGGGAUUGGACCUCAAGAAGUAACUCUAAAAAACAGAGAACACAAAUGCCUCAGUUGUAUUAAGCUUAGAUUCAAAUUAUUAUGUUCACUUGAAAAAAUGAUUUCCUGGGGGCCUUUUGGCAACUUCCCUUUUCAAUGUAGAGAAGAACUUAGUCACCCUGAAACCCUACACAAUAAAUGGAACUUGUAGAUGUGGGCAGAAGGUUUGGGGGUGGACAUUGUGUGUGUUUAAAUUAAACCCUUUAUCACUGAGAAGCUGUUGUAUGGGUCAGAGAAAAUGAAUGCUUAGAAGCUGUUCACAUCUUCAAGAGCAGAAGCAAACCACAUGUCUCAGCUACAUUAUUUAUUUUUUAUGCAUAAAGUGAAUCAUUUCUUCUGUAUUAAUUUCCAAUGGGUUUUACCCUCUAUUUAAAUGCUUUGGAAAACAGUGCAUUGACAAUGGGUUGAUAUUUUUCUUUAAAAGAAAAAUAUAAUUAUGAAAGCCAAGAUAAUCUGAAGCCUGUUUUGUUUUAAAACUUUUUAUGUUCUGUGGUUGAUGUUGUUUGUUUGUUUGUUUGUUUGUUUUUAUUAUUAUUUUUUUUUUGGCAUACUACAUGCAGUUCUUUAACCGACGUCUGUUUGGCUAAUGUAAUUAAAGUUGUUAAUUUAUAUGAGUGCAUUUCAACUAUGUCAAUGGUUUCUUAAUAUUUAUUGUGUAGAAGUACUGGUAAUUUUUUUAUUUACAAUAUGUUUAAAGAGAUAACAGUUUGAUAUGUUUUCAUGUGUUUAUAGCAGAAGUUAUUUAUUUCUAUGGCAUUCCAGCGGAUAUUUUGGUGUUUGCGAGGCAUGCAGUCAAUAUUUUGUACAGUUAGUGGACAGUAUUCAGCAACGCCUGAUAGCUUCUUUGGCCUUAUGUUAAAUAAAAAACCUGUUUGGGAUUUAUUUUUUAUUUUUAUUUUUAUUUUAUGUCUUAUUGGUUUUCCAAGAUCAACUUUGCACACAUACGGCUACACCCUUUGCUGGGUGAUUAUUUCGUUUCUCCUGUAAUUAUCGAGAAGCGUAUGAGAAACAGACUGAAUGGGAGAGAGAAGACAAAAGCUGGAUGGAACAAGAGUACUCAGAGAGGAAAAGAAUAAAUAUUGCUGUGGCAGGGCUUUGUAAUAGGCUGCAGAUGCUUGGACCAGUAGUAGUUAUAUUUUAUUCAUUUUGUUAAUUUCCCAUUUCUCAAAGUGUAGUGGCAAGUAACAUGAAAUAAAGUAAAAUUCCUGCCUUCCCUCCCCCUUCCCACCAUCCCUCCCCCUUCCCUUCUUUCCUCCCUCCUUCUCUCCUUCUUUCCUUUCCUCCUUCCCUCCUUCUUCUCCCUUUCCCUUCUGGCUAGAAAAUUGGUAUUGCAGGGAGUGACUAGGGCUAGAAACAGAUAUAACUUAGGAAAGAAAAGAACCAGGACCAACAGGACCAAAAUGGAAUCACAGAAGUACAGUCAAGACCAAAUUGGCUGUUUGAUCUUUUCUUCUAUAGGUUUUGCUCUAGUAUCUGUGUCCAUCAAAGGGGUUAUAUGGAGAUACUAGCACCUGGUAAUGCCCAUGUGAGCCAAGCAAGUCCCCGUGUGACCACCCAGUAGAUGCUUUCCCUGUUUUUACAGAUGAAUUAGAGGCAUGAAGUAACAUUAAUUGGAACUAGGAUUUCAAGCCAGGUCUAUAUUCAAAUCUAAAGUGUAGUAGUAGUAGUAGCAGCAGCAGUAGCAGUAGUAGUAUUUUGCUGCUCUGUAUGCCAAUAGAUUCAGAUACAGAUUCCUCAUGUACUGAGAACAAAAAGGAGGGAGUGGGGGUGGGGUUUGGAGUUGAGUGUUGAAGACACUUUAAACUUCUUACCACAGACACUUUAUACCCACCGGACAGUUUACUUAACUCCAAGUAAAAUGCCAAGUUCAUGUAAAUUCACACAAAACCCUUUUUAUUUGUUUUAGGUAGGAAAGUUACAUUUUUUUGAAAAUUAAAAAAUAAGAGUUGUUACAGUUUUGCUUUAUAUUUGCAAAUAUGUCUUAUUUUUCCAUUCUUUUAUUUUGCUGGAUGAAGCCUCUUACCCAAAGUAUUCUACUUUGAGGGCUGAGCGAUAUUUGUAUGUACGUGCGCAUGGGUGCACGUGUGCACCCAGGAGCAUGUACAUUAGUCUUCAAUUCCCACCAGAUUUAAUAAUGAUUGCAUAUUAGGAACUAAGUAAAAACCCCAGUGAAUUACAAAUGAGUGACAUUAAUAGGAAAUUUGUACAGAUGUUAUCAGAAGUUAAAGCAAAAAAUGACUGAAAGGAAGCAAAAGUCAGUAUAGAAAAAUACAUAAAUAACUAUAUAUACAUACAUUGCACAUUUAACAUGUGAUGAAGAUACAUAUAAAGGGCACAGAAAGAGAGAGAAUGAGUCAUCAUUUAAAGGGAAGAUCUAAACUCAUUUUAUAUAGGGGUUUGGUGUUUUCUCAGAAAACAGUUGUCUGUCUGGGGAGGGAGGCACCCCAAGGAAAGGGAACAAGCGCCCCAUUACUUGCUUCUCACAUCAAAUAUGGCAUCUGCUCCUUGGAAUGAAUUAUGUUGUGUCUGCGUUGAUCCAAAGUUAAGUCUUCUCCUUGGUCCAUGAAAAGGCAGGAUUCAUUAGAAAUUCUCCAUUCCACCCUUUGAGGCUUUCUUUAAUUGUCAUGUACUUAACAGUAAGAAAAAAAGGAAGGCAAAUUGUUUAUCCACAAGCAAAAAACCACAGAGCUGUUUCAAGACUUUAGAAAUCGACAAUUGCCCCACUUGCAUGUGUGCACUUUGAGAAGAGCCUGAAAUCCUUGGAGUCCAGCAGGACUUCAGUUCACUAGAGAGAUUUUAAACUUGGCAGUUAAAAUCCAAAAGUAGUUUUGAGAAAUAUUCGGCCAAUGAUUGAAUAAAAAUGAUGAAGAAUCUUACCUUUUAAAAACUGAUUUCUGGGCUCCUGGGUGGCUCAGUAGGCUAAGUGUCUGCCUUUGGCUCAGGUCACGAUUUCAGGGUCUUGGGAUUGAGUCCCACAUUGGGCUCCCUGCUCAACAGGGAGUCUGCUUCUCCUCUGUCCCUCCCCUUGGCUCAGGUCAUUCUCUCUAUUUCUCUCAAAGAUAAAUAAAA
Molecule: long non-coding RNA, 4873 nt
Filed under: Canis lupus familiaris (dog)
Lineage: Eukaryota; Metazoa; Chordata; Mammalia; Carnivora; Canidae
Description: lncRNA (ENSCAFG00000057478.1)
Source: RNAcentral